UGGGGAAUAUUGGACAAUGGGCGAAAGCCUGAUCCAGCCAUGCCGCGUGUGUGAAGAAGGUCUUCGGAUUGUAAAGCACUUUAAGUUGGGAGGAAGGGCAGUAAGCGAAUACCUUGCUGUUUUGACGUUACCGACAGAAUAAGCACCGGCUAACUCUGUGCCAGCAGCCGCGGUAAUACAGAGGGUGCAAGCGUUAAUCGGAAUUACUGGGCGUAAAGCGCGCGUAGGUGGUUCGUUAAGUUGAAUGUGAAAGCCCCGGGCUCAACCUGGGAACUGCAUCCAAAGCUGGCGAGCUAGAGUAGGGCAGAGGGUGGUGGAAUUUCCUGUGUAGCGGAGAAAUGCGUAGAUAUAGGAAGGAACACCAGUGGCGAAGGCGACCACCUGGGCUCAUACUGACACUGAGGUGCGAAAGCGUGGGGAGCAAACAGG
Molecule: ribosomal RNA, 429 nt
Filed under: Pseudomonadota bacterium
Lineage: Bacteria; Pseudomonadati; Pseudomonadota
Description: Proteobacteria bacterium partial 16S ribosomal RNA
Rfam family: Bacterial small subunit ribosomal RNA
Source: RNAcentral